GCCCAGACUCCUACGGGAGGCAGCAGUGGGGGAUAUUGCACAAUGGGGGGAACCCUGAUGCAGCGACGCCGCGUGGGUGAAGGAGCGUUUCGGCGCGUAAAGCCCUAUCGGCAGGGAAGAAGGAGGACGGUACCUGAGUAAGAAGCCCCGGCUAACUACGUGCCAGCAGCCGCGGGAAUACGUAGGGGGCAAGCGUUAUCCGGAUUUACUGGGUGUAAAGGGAGCGUAGACGGCCAGACAAGUCUGAAGUGAAAAUCCAGCGCUUAACGUUGGAAGUGCUUUGGAAACUGCCGGGCUGGAGUGCAGGAGGGGCAGGCGGAAUUCCUAGUGUAGCGGUGAAAUGCGUAGAUAUUAGGAGGAACGCCAGUGGCGAAGGCGGCCUGCUGGACUGCAACUGACGUUGAGGCUCGAAGGCGUGGGGAGCACACAGGAUUAGAUACCCGCGUAA
RNAcentral lists this ribosomal RNA (448 nucleotides) under uncultured bacterium. Its description in RNAcentral is "bacterial SSU rRNA". It matches the Rfam family "Bacterial small subunit ribosomal RNA", at positions 329 to 793 of the family's 1533-position model. The record is from RNAcentral.